RNAcentral lists this long non-coding RNA (1527 nucleotides) under Nicotiana tabacum (common tobacco). RNAcentral's name for it is "long non-coding RNA (NTAB_LNC007006)". The record is from RNAcentral. Lineage: Eukaryota; Viridiplantae; Streptophyta; Magnoliopsida; Solanales; Solanaceae.
AAUAAAUGAACAUCAAUGGUUAAUCUUAUAUACACACAACUCGAGCCUUGUGGAAAAAAUACCUAGAAAAAAUUAGAAAGAUGGCUGAAGAUAAGAGAAACGAGAUUCAAGAUCUGUCUAAAUCCAUCACUCCAAGUGAAGAACCUGCUAAAGGUAAUUAAGAGAUGAAAACUAUCUUAUCUACAAAUGUUUCACCAUGUUUGUUUGUGUCCUUUUUUCUUUUAAAAGUUUUUCAUAUUACAUAGGGAAAUUGGGGAAUGAGGUCGUCCUUACCUAAAACACUUACACAUACGACUAGAUUAUAACGCUUAAUUAGUCAUCAUGUUGAUUUGCAUUACGAAGACCUUUAAUGGAAUUAGUGGACUCACAUUAUCCAUUAGAAUUAUAGAAAUGUUCUUAGAUAAUUAUCCUGGUUGAUAACUCAAGAAUAGUAUAUUGUUCCGCAAAUCAUGUCUAUACAUUCAUAACUUGCAUACAUUUCUUUAAUGUAUAAACUAUUGAAAUUUCUUUUACAUGAUUUUUAUGGAACUGUUUUGAUGAGAACUGGAGAAAUAUUUUAUUGUUUUAAAUUUUGUGAUGCAAGAAUCACUCAGAAGAAUAUUUUGGGAGUUUCCUUAGAUUUCUGAGAAGGAUUCAUAACCUCUGGUGGUUUAUGUUAACCCGAAACUAUUCGUGUCAGAGUAGGAGAUUAGUAUACCGUUGAUUCGGGCACUAUGACAGAAGUGCCCUGAUAAGGCACAAGAACGCGAGCAUACUUACACUGAUACCACUAGACUUAUAACCCUUAAUUAGUCGUCAUGUUGAUUUCAUUAUUAAGAUCUUGUUCUCUUUUUUCAUUUUUCGCAAAAUGAUUUGGGUACGUAUAUGAAGGAGAGCCUUAACGUAACUGGUAAAGUUGUUGGCAUGUGACUAGGAGGUCAUGGGUUCGAGUCGUACGUGGAAGCAGGCUCUUGCAGAAAUAAUGUAGGGUAAGGUUGCGUACAAUAGACCCUUGUGGUCCGGCCCCUCCCCGAACCCUGCGCAUAGCGGGAGCUUAGUUAGCGCAGCGGGCUGCCCUUUGAUUUGGGUAUGUAUAUGCCGAGGGUCUAUCGGAAACAGUCUCUCUAUCUCACAUAAGAUAGGAGUAAGGUUGUGUACGUCCCACUCUCCUCAGACCUCACUUAAGAGGUUACACUGGAUAUAUUAUUGUUGUUGAUUCGGGUAUGUCUAUGUUUUCAUUUUUGUCGGGAUUAGAAAAUGCUAAAGAUCAAGGGCUAGUGGAGAAAGAUGAAGCAGCAAAUGCUCAAGACGAGGGGUUGGCGCACGUAGUUGUAAGAGCAAAAAUGCCAAAACCUCCCGGCAAACGACCUCCUCCAACGACUGGUUGAACUGAAAUAAUAUAAGCCUAAUUGGAAAUUUCAAAUUUUAAGUGUUGUACAUUUAAAGUAAUUAACCAGAUGUAAUUGGUUAAUUGCUUUUUUAAUUUCUUCGUGUGUGUUUUUGUUCUUGCUCGUCCUUAUGAUUUCUUAUUUGUACUUUGAUCUUUAU